GCAUAUCAAUAAGCGGAGGAAAAGAAACUAACAAGGAUUCCCCUAGUAACUGCGAGUGAAGCGGGAAAAGCUCAAAUUUAAAAUCUGGCGGUCUCUGGCCGUCCGAGUUGUAAUCUAGAGAAGUGUUAUCCGCGCUGGACCGUGUACAAGUCUCCUGGAAUGGAGCGUCAUAGAGGGUGAGAAUCCCGUCUUUGACACGGACUGCCAGGGCUUUGUGAUGCGCUCUCAAAGAGUCGAGUUGUUUGGGAAUGCAGCUCCAAAUGGGUGGUAAAUUCCAUCUAAAGCUAAAUAUUGGCGAGAGACCGAUAGCGAACAAGUACCGUGAGGGAAAGAUGAAAAGAACUUUGGAAAGAGAGUUAAACAGUACGUGAAAUUGCUGAAAGGGAAACGCUUGAAGUCAGUCGCGUUGUCCGGGAAUCAACCUUGCUUUUGCUGGGCGUACUUUCCGGUCGACGGGUCAGCAUCAAUUUUGACCGUUGGAUAAAGUCUAGAGGAAUGUGGCAUCUUCGGGUGUGUUAUAGCCUCUGGUCGCAUACAACGGUUGGGAUUGAGGAACUCAGCACGCCGCAAGGCCGGGUACUCGUACCACGUUCGUGCUUAGGAUGCUGGCAUAAUGGCUUUAAUCGACCCGUCUUGAAACACGGACC
This 647-nucleotide ribosomal RNA is filed under the name Agrocybe sp. STDS-1-29. Its description in RNAcentral is "LSU rRNA". It matches the Rfam family "Eukaryotic large subunit ribosomal RNA", at positions 38 to 667 of the family's 3401-position model. The record is from RNAcentral. Lineage: Eukaryota; Fungi; Basidiomycota; Agaricomycetes; Agaricales; Agrocybaceae.